This 433-nucleotide ribosomal RNA is filed under the name uncultured bacterium. RNAcentral describes it as "partial 16S ribosomal RNA". It matches the Rfam family "Bacterial small subunit ribosomal RNA", at positions 29 to 507 of the family's 1533-position model. The record is from RNAcentral.
AACGAACGCUGGCGGCAUGCCUAACACAUGCAAGUCGAACGAGACCUUCGGGUCUAGUGGCGCACGGGUGCGUAACGCGUGGGAACCUGCCCUUAGGCUCGGAAUAACUCCCCGAAAGGGGUGCUAAUACCGGAUAAUGUCUUCGGACCAAAGAUUUAUCGCCUUUGGAUGGGCCCGCGUUGGAUUAGCUAGUUGGUAGGGUAAAAGCCUACCAAGGCGACGAUCCAUAGCUGGUCUGAGAGGAUGAUCAGCCACACUGGGACUGAGACACGGCCCAGACUCCUACGGGAGGCAGCAGUGGGGAAUAUUGGACAAUGGGCGAAAGCCUGAUCCAGCAAUGCCGCGUGAGUGAUGAAGGCCUUAGGGUUGUAAAGUUCUUUUACCCGGGAUGAUAAUGACAGUACCGGGAGAAUAAGCUCCGGCUAACUCCGUG